AAAGUCGUAACAAGGUUUCCGUAGGUGAACCUGCGGAAGGAUCAUUACCAAAAGAAAAAAAAACCCCUUGGGCCCCGCUUGUAGGGACCCUGCCUGCGGACGGGGACUCGUUCCCCCGACGCGGCAGCGGUUUCCUCUCGCGGGCGCUCAUCCCACACCUUGUGAACCCAAUGUAUCGUCCUUGGGGGGUCUCGGCCCCCCAAACAAAACCUUUAUGAAACACCUUUUGAUAAACCCAUUGAUGGAAACUUUUCUUAUUGAUUUAAAGAAAAAUCGACAACAACUUUUAACGGUGGAUCUCUUGGCUCGU
Molecule: unclassified non-coding RNA, 310 nt
Filed under: Ascomycota sp.
Lineage: Eukaryota; Fungi; Ascomycota
Description: partial contains small subunit ribosomal RNA, internal transcribed spacer 1, and 5.8S ribosomal RNA
Rfam family: Eukaryotic small subunit ribosomal RNA (bases 1-47)
Source: RNAcentral